RNAcentral lists this ribosomal RNA (414 nucleotides) under uncultured bacterium. Its description in RNAcentral is "bacterial SSU rRNA". It matches the Rfam family "Bacterial small subunit ribosomal RNA", at positions 355 to 786 of the family's 1533-position model. The record is from RNAcentral.
UGGGGAAUAUUGCACAAUGGGGGAAGACCCUGAUGCAGCGACGCCGCGUGAGUGAAGAAGUCAUUCGUGAUGUAAAGCUCUAUCAGCAGGGAAGAAAAUGACGGUACCUGACUAAGAAGCCCCGGCUAACUACGUGCCAGCAGCCGCGGUAAUACGUAGGGGCAGCGGUUAUCCGGAUUUACUGGGUGUAAAGGGAGCGUAGACGGAUCUGCAAGUCUGGAGUGAAAGCCCGGGGCUCAACCCCGGACGUGCUUUGGAAACUGUGGAUCUAGAGUGCCGGAGAGGUAAGCGGAAUUCCUAGUGUAGCGGUGAAAUGCGUAGAUAUUAGGAGGAACACCAGUGGCGAAGGCGGCUUACUGGACGGUAACUGACGUUGAGGCUCGAAAGCGUGGGGAGCAAACAGGAUUAGAUACC